UACAGAGGAUGCAAGCGUUAUCCGGAAUGAUUGGGCGUAAAGCGUCUGUAGGUGGCUUUUUAAGUCCGCCGUCAAAUCCCAGGGCUCAACUCUGGACAGGCGGUGGAAACUACCAAGCUGGAGUACGGUAGGGGCAGAGGGAAUUUCCGGUGGAGCGGUGAAAUGCGCAGAUAUCAGGAGGAACACCGGUGGCGAAGGCGGGUCUCUGGGCCGAAACUGACGCUGAGGAGCGAAAGCGUGGGGAGCGAACAGG
Molecule: ribosomal RNA, 253 nt
Filed under: uncultured bacterium
Lineage: Bacteria
Description: partial 16S ribosomal RNA
Rfam family: Bacterial small subunit ribosomal RNA
Source: RNAcentral